This 650-nucleotide ribosomal RNA is filed under the name Hymenocephalus striatissimus. RNAcentral describes it as "partial 12S ribosomal RNA". It matches the Rfam family "Bacterial small subunit ribosomal RNA", at positions 547 to 1510 of the family's 1533-position model. Lineage: Eukaryota; Metazoa; Chordata; Actinopteri; Gadiformes; Macrouridae. The record is from RNAcentral.
CGGCGUAAAGCGUAGUUAAGACAUAAAAUAAAAUAGGGCCGAAUGACCUCAAGACAGUAAAAUGUGUACGAGACCACUAAGCACAUCUAUGAAAAUGACCCUAAUUUCUCUGACCCUACGAAAGCUAUAAUACAAACUGGGAUUUGAUACCCCACUAUGUUUAGCCGUUAAAAUUAAUGGUACUUCACUCGAACCAUUCGCCUGGAGAUUACGAGCUCAAGCUUAAAACCCAAAGGACCUGGCGAUGCUUUAGAUCCCCCUAGAGGAGCCUGUUCUGUAACUGACAAUCCCCGGUAAACCUCACCACCCCUUGCCAGACUCCGUUUAUAUACCACCGUCGCAAGCUCACCCUUUUGAAGGAAUAAAAGUGAGCUUAAACAGUACUACUGCUAACGUCAGGUCGAGGUGUAGCGUAUGGGGUGGGAAGAAAUGGGCUACAUUCUCUAAAGAAGAGAAUACGAAUGGCAGUUUGAAAAAAUUGCACUGAAGGAGGAUUUAGAAGUAAGAAAGGAAUAGAGUGCCCUACUGAACAAUGGCCCUAAAGCACGUACAAACCGCCCGUCACUCUCCCCACAAUAUCUUCACACAAUCCCUAAUAAGAACAAAUUUUGUAAGGUGAGACAAGUCGUAACAUGGUAAGUGUACCGGAA